Molecule: microRNA precursor, 86 nt
Filed under: Polistes canadensis
Lineage: Eukaryota; Metazoa; Arthropoda; Insecta; Hymenoptera; Vespidae
Description: microRNA pca-mir-995 precursor
Gene: pca-mir-995
Source: miRBase by way of RNAcentral
ACAUUGGGGUCAGCUGAAUCUGGAGGGGCCACGUUACACUAUAUUGUCGUAGCACCACAUUAUUCAGCUUGUUCCAUUGUGUUAUG